RNAcentral lists this ribosomal RNA (548 nucleotides) under Bacillus licheniformis. Its description in RNAcentral is "bacterial SSU rRNA". It matches the Rfam family "Bacterial small subunit ribosomal RNA", at positions 100 to 633 of the family's 1533-position model. Lineage: Bacteria; Bacillati; Bacillota; Bacilli; Caryophanales; Bacillaceae. The record is from RNAcentral.
GGACGGGGGAGAACACGUGGGUAACCUGCCUGUAAGACUGGGAUAACUCCGGGAAACCGGGGCUAAUACCGGAUGCUUGAUUGAACCGCAUGGUUCAAUCAUAAAAGGUGGCUUUUAGCUACCACUUACAGAUGGACCCGCGGCGCAUUAGCUAGUUGGUGAGGUAACGGCUCACCAAGGCGACGAUGCGUAGCCGACCUGAGAGGGUGAUCGGCCACACUGGGACUGAGACACGGCCCACACUCCUACGGGAGGCAGCAGUAGGGAAUCUUCCGCAAUGGACGAAAGUCUGACGGAGCAACGCCGCGUGAGUGAUGAAGGUUUUCGGAUCGUAAAACUCUGUUGUUAGGGAAGAACAAGUACCGUUCGAAUAGGGCGGCACCUUGACGGUACCUAACCAGAAAGCCACGGCUAACUACGUGCCACCAGCCGCGGUAAUACGUACGUGGCAAGCGUUGUCCGGAAUUAUUGGGCGUAAAGCACGCGGACGCCGUUUCUUAAGUCUGAAGUGAAGCCCCCGGAUCGAACGGCCAAGGUCAAUGGAUAAC